This 411-nucleotide ribosomal RNA is filed under the name uncultured archaeon. RNAcentral describes it as "bacterial SSU rRNA". It matches the Rfam family "Archaeal small subunit ribosomal RNA", at positions 421 to 832 of the family's 1478-position model. The record is from RNAcentral.
AAAUAGGUCUUGGAAUAAGGGGUGGGUAAGGACGGUGCCAGCCGCCGCGGUAAUACCGGCGCCUCAAGUGGUAGUCGCUUUUAUUGGGCCUAAAACGUCCGUAGCCGGUCUGAUACAUUCGUGGGUAAAUCAACCAGCUUAACUGGUUGAAUUCUGCGAGGACGGUCAGACUUGGGACCGGGAGAGGUGUGGGGUACGCUCAGGGUAGGGGUAAAAUCCUGUCAUCCUGAGCGGACCACCUGUUGCGAAGGCGCCACACUAGAACGGAUCCGACGGUCAGGGACGAAGCCUAGGGGCACGAACCGGAUUAGAUACCCGGGUAGUCCUAGGUGUAAACGCUGUGGACUUGAUGUUGGGGGUGCUCCGAGCACUCUCAGUGUCGAAGCGAAGGUGAUAAGUCCACUGCCUGGG